GACGAACGCUGGCGGCGUGCUUAACACAUGCAAGUCGAGCGGUAAGGCCCUUUCGGGGGUACACGAGCGGCGAACGGGUGAGUAACACGUGGGUGACCUGCCCUCAGCUCUGGGAUAAGCCUGGGAAACCGGGCCUAAUACUGGAUAUGACUCCAUGACGCAUGUUGUGGGGUGAAAGCCUUGUGCGGCUGAGGAUGGGCCCCGCGGCCUAUCAGCUUGUUGGNGGGGUGAUGGCCUACCAAGGCGACGACGGGGUAGCCGGCCUGAGAGGGCGACCGGCCACACUGGGACUGAGACACGGCCCAGACUCCUACGGGAGGCAGCAGUGGGGAAUCUUGCGCAAUGGGCGAAAGCCUGACGCAGCGACG
This 368-nucleotide ribosomal RNA is filed under the name uncultured bacterium. RNAcentral's name for it is "bacterial SSU rRNA". It matches the Rfam family "Bacterial small subunit ribosomal RNA", at positions 28 to 396 of the family's 1533-position model. The record is from RNAcentral.